RNAcentral lists this ribosomal RNA (586 nucleotides) under uncultured bacterium. Its description in RNAcentral is "partial 16S ribosomal RNA". It matches the Rfam family "Bacterial small subunit ribosomal RNA", at positions 355 to 1375 of the family's 1533-position model. The record is from RNAcentral.
UGGGGAAUAUUGCACAAUGGGCGCAAGCCUGAUGCAGCCAUGCCGCGUGUGUGAAGAAGGCCUUCGGGUUGUAAAGCACUUUCAGCGAGGAGGAAGGUGGUGACUUAAUACGUCAUCAAUUGACGUUACUCGCAGAAGAAGCACCGGCUAACUCCGUGCCAGCAGCCGCGGUAAUACGGAGGGUGCAAGCGUUAAUCGGAAUUACUGGGCGUAAAGCGCACGCAGGCGGUUUGUUAAGUCAGAUGUGAAAUCCCCGGGCUCAACCUGGGAACUGCAUUUGAAACUGGCAAGCUAGAGUCUCGUAGAGGGGGGUAGAAUUCCAGGUGUAGCGGUGAAAUGCGUAGAGAUCUGGAGGAAUACCGGUGGCGAAGGCGGCCCCCCUGGACGAAGACUGACGCUCAGGUGCGAAAGCGUGGGGCAGCAAACAGGAUUAGAUACCCUGGUAGUCCACGCUGUAAACGAUGUCGAUUUGGAGGUUGUGCCCUUGAGGCGUGGCUUCCGGAGCUAACGCGUUAAAUCGACCGCCUGGGGAGUACGGCCGCAAGGUUAAAACUUAAAUGAAUUGACGGGGUCAUAGCUGUUUCCU